Molecule: unclassified non-coding RNA, 239 nt
Filed under: Hevea brasiliensis (rubber tree)
Lineage: Eukaryota; Viridiplantae; Streptophyta; Magnoliopsida; Malpighiales; Euphorbiaceae
Source: RNAcentral
CAGAAGCUCCAGUUCCUGGAACAACACUUGGGAUUCUGAGAGCUUUGUUAUUUUGGCCCCUCCUUUCUUUGCAAAUGCAUUGAUUAGAGUGGACUUGCCUGCAUUUUGAGACCCAAUAACCCAUACAUCCCCUCGAGGACCAGCCAAUUCCUUGACAAAUGACAACAAAUUCCUCACACCCAAAUCCUUAUGAGCACUAACCAAAUAAACUCCACUUAGCUUAGGUGCCCCUCCUGCCC